GCCAUGGCGCGGUGAAUACGUUCCCGGGCCUUGUACACACCGCCCGUCAAGCCAUGAAAGCCGGGGGUGCCUGAAAGCCGUGACCGCGAGGGUCGGCCUAGGGUAAAACCGGUGAUUGGGGCUAAGUCGUAACAAGGUAGCCGUACCGGAAGGUGCGGCUGGAACACCUCCUUUCUGGAG
RNAcentral lists this ribosomal RNA (180 nucleotides) under Porphyromonadaceae bacterium. Its description in RNAcentral is "partial 16S ribosomal RNA". It matches the Rfam family "Bacterial small subunit ribosomal RNA", at positions 1352 to 1533 of the family's 1533-position model. The record is from RNAcentral. Lineage: Bacteria; Pseudomonadati; Bacteroidota; Bacteroidia; Bacteroidales; Porphyromonadaceae.